CCUACGGGAGGCAGCAGUGAGGAAUAUUGGUCAAUGGGCGCGAGCCUGAACCAGCCAAGUCGCGUGAGGGAAGACGGCCCUACGGGUUGUAAACCUCUUUUGCCGGGGAGCAACGGGCGCCACGUGUGGCGCCACUGAGAGUACCCGGAGAAAAAGCAUCGGCUAACUCCGUGCCAGCAGCCGCGGUAAUACUGAGGAUGCGAGCGUUAUCCGGAUUUAUUGGGUUUAAAGGGUGCGUAGGCGGAGAGAUAAGUCAGUGGUAAAAUUGAGGGGCUCAACCCCUUUCCGCCAUUGAAACUGGCGCUCCUGAGUGGAAGAGAAGUAUGCGGAAUGCGUGGUGUAGCGGUGAAAUGCAUAGAUAUCACGCAGAACCCCGAAUGCGAAGGCAGCAUGCCGGCUUCCUACUGACGCUGAAGCACGAAAGCGUGGGGAUCGAACAGGAUUAGAUACCCGAGUAGUC
RNAcentral lists this ribosomal RNA (460 nucleotides) under uncultured bacterium. Its description in RNAcentral is "partial 16S ribosomal RNA". It matches the Rfam family "Bacterial small subunit ribosomal RNA", at positions 338 to 795 of the family's 1533-position model. The record is from RNAcentral.